This 370-nucleotide long non-coding RNA is filed under the name Elaeis guineensis (African oil palm). RNAcentral's name for it is "long non-coding RNA (EGUI_LNC047687)". The record is from RNAcentral. Lineage: Eukaryota; Viridiplantae; Streptophyta; Magnoliopsida; Arecales; Arecaceae.
UCCACCCAAUCUCUCAUGAAGUAGAUUCUUUAUUGAGAUCAGUAAGAAGAGGAUUGUAGAAUCACUCCUAAAAUUUGGUUUAGUCUAAACCCUACCAUUCAUUGGAUUUUCUUAAUUUAUUUCUCAGUAUCUCUAAAAUUAUCUUGACCGUUAAUCAUUCAUUGAUUAGGAUGCCUAAUUGACUCUUAAUCAAAAUAAAAUUUGGAUACACAAAACUAAUUAUUUCUGACCAUACUCGAGGAUUUGAUUAAUUUUCUUUCCCCCCCACCUUAAUCUAAAUUGUCCUCAAUGGAGUAGGAAAGCAAAGAAAAUAAAAGGAGAGAGUGCACCUGGGAUAAUUUUGCUUCAGAAGUUGAAGAUAGCUUCAUUG